This 189-nucleotide non-coding RNA is filed under the name Sphingomonas endophytica. Lineage: Bacteria; Pseudomonadati; Pseudomonadota; Alphaproteobacteria; Sphingomonadales; Sphingomonadaceae. The record is from RNAcentral.
AGGGCGCGCGGCGCGACAGGUUCCCCCUGACCGGGGAUCAAAAGGGAACGGACGAACUCCGGCUGCCCCUGCAACUGUAAGCGGCGAGCCAGCGCGCCACAUGCCAUUGGGCCGAUGUCCGGCCUGAGAAGGCGGCACGCACGGCGAUGACCCGUGAGCCAGGAGACCUGCCUGCCGCGAUCGUCCUUC